CGUAGAUAUUAGGAAGAACAAUCAGUAGCGAAAGCGACUUUUCUGGACUGUAACUGACGCUGAGGAACGAUAGCGUUGGGGAGCGAACAGGAUUAGAUACCCUGGUAGUCCACGCCGUAAACGAUGGAUACUUGGUGUUGGCCGUAAAGGUCGGUGCCGGAGCAAAUGUAUUAAGUAUCCCGCCUGGGGAGUACGGUCGCAAGGCUGAAACUCAAAAGAAUUGACGGGGACCCGCACAAGCAGCGGAGCAUGUGGUUUAAUUCGAAGCAACGCGAAGAACCUUACCAAAUCUUGACAUAUCAAAGCUAUCUGAGUAAAAUUGGAGUUCCAAUUUGGACUUUGACUACAGGUGGUGCAUGGUUGUCGUCAGCUCGUGUCGUGAGAUGUUGGGUUAAGUCCCGUAACGAGCGCAACCCUUAUUUUUAGUUGCUAACAAGUAGUGUUGUAGGACUCUAGAGAGACUGCCGAUGAAAAAAUCGGAGGAAGGUGGGGAUGACGUCAAAUCAUCAUGCCCCUUAUGAUUUGGGCUACACACGUGCUACAAUGGCCGGUACAACGGGUAAGCGAAGGGGUGACCUGGAGCCAAUCCUCACAAGCCGGUCCCAGUUCGGAUUGCAGAUUGAACUCAUCUGUAUGAAGUUGGAGUUGCUAGUAAUCGCGUAUCAGAUGUCGCGGUGAAUGCGUUCCCGGUCUGUACACACCGCCCGUCACACC
Molecule: ribosomal RNA, 714 nt
Filed under: uncultured organism
Description: bacterial SSU rRNA
Rfam family: Bacterial small subunit ribosomal RNA
Source: RNAcentral